Molecule: non-coding RNA, 228 nt
Organism: Ceratotherium simum simum (southern white rhinoceros)
Lineage: Eukaryota; Metazoa; Chordata; Mammalia; Perissodactyla; Rhinocerotidae
Source: RefSeq, a predicted model, not a curated record
CAGGAGCUCCUCCAGCUUCAAAGCCAGGGCGCUGUUUGCAUCCGCUCGGUCUCUCCGCUCAAGUCUGAAUCUCUUCUUCCAAAAUCCACGUCUUGGUGGACGCCCCGAAAGAAAACCUGAGGUCACGAUGGAUCUUGAAGGAGGCCGCAGUGGAAGAAGGGGGAAGAAGAACUUCUUGAAAAUUAACGAAAAAAGUAAAAAAGAUGAGAAGAAAGAAAAGAAACCAAC